Molecule: transfer RNA, 74 nt
Filed under: Cedecea neteri
Lineage: Bacteria; Pseudomonadati; Pseudomonadota; Gammaproteobacteria; Enterobacterales; Enterobacteriaceae
Description: tRNA-???(tg)
Source: RNAcentral
CCGCCACUAGCUCAUCAGGAAGAGCGACAACCAUGGUGUUGUAGUACGAGGUUCGAGGCCCCGGUGGCGGUCCA